GAUGAAGAACGUAGCGAAAUGCGAUAAGUAAUGUGAAUUGCAGAAUUCAGUGAAUCAUCGAAUCUUUGAACGCACAUUGCGCCCGCCAGUAUUCUGGCGGGCAUGCCUGUUCGAGCGUCAUUUCAACCCUCAGGCCCCGCCUGGCGUUGGGGAUCGGCGCGGCCCUCUCCGGGCUGCCGGCCCCGAAAACUAGUGGCGGUCUCGCUGUAGUCCUCCUCUGCGCAGUAGCAACGCUCGCACUGGAACCCGGCGCGGCCACGCCGUAAAACACCCCACUUCUGAAAGUUGACCUCGGAUCAGGUAGGAAUACCCGCUGAACUUAAGCAUAUCAAUAAGCGGAGGA
This 343-nucleotide unclassified non-coding RNA is filed under the name soil metagenome. Its description in RNAcentral is "partial contains 5.8S ribosomal RNA, internal transcribed spacer 2, and large subunit ribosomal RNA". The stretch from base 1 to 120 matches the Rfam family "5.8S ribosomal RNA", at positions 35 to 154 of the family's 154-position model. The record is from RNAcentral.